CAAGUCGCACGAGAAAGGGGAGCAAUCCCUGAGUACAGUGGCGUACGGGUGAGUAACACGUGGAUGAUCUACCUUCUAGUGGGGAAUAACCCAGGGAAACCGGGGCUAAUACCGCAUGAGCUCGAGAGAGGAAAGCAGCAAUGCGCUGGAAGAGGAGUCCGCGGCCGAUUAGCUAGUUGGCAGGGUAAAAGCCUACCAAGGCAGAGAUCGGUAGCCGGCCUGAGAGGGCACACGGCCACACUGGCACUGAAACACGGGCCAGACUCCUACGGGAGGCAGCAGUGGGGAAUCUUGCACAAUGGGGGAAACCCUGAUGCAGCGACGCCGCGUGAGCGAUGAAGCCCUUCGGGGUGUAAAGCUCUUUCGGCAGGGAAGAUAAUGACGGUACCUGCAGAAGCAGCUGCGGCUAACUACGUGCCAGCAGCCGCGGUAAUACGUAGGCAGCGAGCGUUGUUCGGAGUUACUGGGCGUAAAGGGUGUGUAGGCGGUUGUUUAAGUUUGGUGUGAAAUCUCCCGGCUCAACUGGGAGGGUGCGCCGAAUACUGAAUGACUUGGAGUGCGGGAGAGGAAAGUGGAAUUCCUGGUGUAGCGGUGAAAUGCGUAGAUAUCAGGAGGAACACCGGUGGUGUAGACGGCUUUCUGGACCGUAACUGACGCUGAGACACGAAAGCGUGGGUAGCAAACAGGAUUAGAUACCCUGGUAGUCCACGCCCUAAACGAUGCAUAUUUGGUGUGGGCAGUUCAUUCUGUCCGUGCCGGAGCUAACGCGUUAAAUAUGCCGCCUGGGGAGUACAGUCGCAAGGCUGAAACUCAAAGGAAUUGACGGGGGCCCGCACAAGCGGUGGA
This 846-nucleotide ribosomal RNA is filed under the name uncultured Bacillota bacterium. RNAcentral's name for it is "bacterial SSU rRNA". It matches the Rfam family "Bacterial small subunit ribosomal RNA", at positions 58 to 936 of the family's 1533-position model. The record is from RNAcentral. Lineage: Bacteria; Bacillati; Bacillota.